AGGAGUUUGAGAUUUUCAGCCCCUGAAUGUAUGUGGCAAGGCCAUUAGACUCACUUUCGCCAGCUCGUGACCAUGGAUAUGAGGCUGCAGGAGUUUGAGAUUUUCAGCCCCUGAAUGUAUGUGGCAAGGCCAUUAGACUCGCUUUCGCCAGUGAACAGUGGGCGGAGCGAUGUCUGUCACUGGCAAGUGGAAACAUUCAACUGCUGCCGCAGGUCUCUCCUGUUCUCUUCUUCUUUGUGGUCGCAUCGAAGUCACACACAGAGGCUGGCCUGCAUCUGUCAGGUUGCAGGAGUGACCGGCAUGGCCUGAACCGCCCUGCUAGCCUGUAACACAUGUACAAGACUCGGGUACCGUGGGGAAGCGUGUGCUUAGCAUGGGAGAGGUCCCAGGUUCAGUCUCAGGCACCAAAAUAAACAAAAACAAAAGCCAAGAGCAAGAGA
RNAcentral lists this long non-coding RNA (440 nucleotides) under Mus musculus (house mouse). RNAcentral's name for it is "predicted gene, 47805". The record is from RNAcentral. Lineage: Eukaryota; Metazoa; Chordata; Mammalia; Rodentia; Muridae.